CUAUCCGCCCAAGGCUCAUCACAUGUAUAAAUUCAAACAAGAAAUGCACUAGCGGAAACAUACACAAACGGCUUACACGAGGGUAAGCAAUAGCCAUUAGUGAAAGAAAGAAAAACUAAACAUUUAUAAGUACUAUGAUUCAAUUUAGAUCAUAUACAUACAUCCAACUUGUAAUUUUUCGAAUUUCUUACAUUUCGUUUCAUCAUUUCUUUCUUACAUCACAUUUACCUCAAAAUACACAUUACAUUCUUUUCUUUACAUCAUUCAUCAUCAAGUACAAAAGAUGA
RNAcentral lists this long non-coding RNA (287 nucleotides) under Ananas comosus (pineapple). RNAcentral describes it as "long non-coding RNA (ACOM_LNC040776)". Lineage: Eukaryota; Viridiplantae; Streptophyta; Magnoliopsida; Poales; Bromeliaceae. The record is from RNAcentral.